This 418-nucleotide ribosomal RNA is filed under the name uncultured bacterium. RNAcentral describes it as "bacterial SSU rRNA". It matches the Rfam family "Bacterial small subunit ribosomal RNA", at positions 364 to 774 of the family's 1533-position model. The record is from RNAcentral.
UUGGACAAUGGGCGAAAGCCUGAUCCAGCCAUGCCGCGUGAGUGAAGAAGGCCUUCGGGUUGUAAAGCUCUUUUAGUCGGAAAGAAAGAGUUGCAAUGAAUAAUUGUGAUUUAUGACGGUACCGACAGAAAAAGCACCGGCUAACUACGUGCCAGCAGCCGCGGUAAUACGUAGGGUGCGAGCGUUCAUCGGAAUAACUGGGCGAAACGGGUGCGCAGGCGGUCUUGCAAGUCAGAUGUGAAAGCUCCGGGCUUAACCCGGGAAUUGCGUUUGAAACUACAAGGCUAGAGUGCAGCAGAGGGUAGUGGAAGUCCAUGUGUAGCAGUGAAAUGCGUAGAGAUGUGGAAGAACACCGAUGGCGAAGGCAGCUCCCUGGGUUGACACUGACGCUCAUGCACGAAAGCGUGGGGAGCAAACA